This is a long non-coding RNA of Paramacrobiotus metropolitanus, 2179 nucleotides long. RefSeq lists it as uncharacterized. The record is from RefSeq and is a predicted model, not a curated record. The transcript is spliced from 6 exons. Lineage: Eukaryota; Metazoa; Tardigrada; Eutardigrada; Parachela; Macrobiotidae.
CAGGACUGCAGAUGUUUGCUGCAAACGUGCAUUUGUAUUACUAGUAGUUCUAUUUUGCGUGCCGUUUGGACUUCUUUGUGUGCAGUGUCUGCUUCGCUGAAGCGAUGGCCACUAACUUCAGCAAGCGCGUCCUCAUCACUAGCUCCUCCUGUUUACUUGGUUGCGCCGUUCUGGAAGCGUUCAUCGCAGUGGGUUGGCAAAGGACCGGGCUCGCAUUUCCCGUGCUGAUCGACAUCCCAAUCUGGUUAAGACUGGUAUCUGUGCGAUCCCAUGGCCAUCGAAAAGCUGAUCGAUGAUUUGAAGCCGAACGUUGUUGUCUGUGCAGCGGAGCGCAGUCCCGAUGCCAUGGACCAGCAGCCAGCCGAGACUUUCCAGCUCAAUGUGCAGUCCACGCAGCAUCUGAGCCAGUGUGCCAAGAAAGUGGGCGCUUUCCUUCUCUACAUCAUCCGGUUGUUGAAAGAUACUCCGAUGGAAAGACUGGGUACAAUGCAGCGACUGGUUCCACGGAAAAGGAGUUUCGUUUGCACAUUAAUGGCGAUGAUAAGAUGGAUCGAAAUACCAAAUUGGACAAAGUGGAUAGCAAUGUUCAUGACAUCGUUUCGCCAACGCUUAGUCCGAUGCUCUCCAUUCCAGAUGCAUUUGUGGACGAUUUUGACACUUUUUCGGACGAUGAAGGUAUUCAAAACCAACCAGACCGAGUGAAAUCUCCCCCCAAAGAAAAGUGAAACUGCCACCCAUGACGAGAGCAUUGCCAACGAAAACCGCAGCGAUAUUGUUGCAUCGAUUCGGAGUGAUUUCUUGUCGUCCAGCCAUUCGGAAACUGGCCAAGCUGAUGUGAAUCUGCAAGAUUUUGAUAACAUUGUUUAUUUAGGUGGAUAUUAUUUUAUCGGAUAUUGCCGUCCACGAGACUUUGAUUUGGAUCUCCGUUUCCCUUCCAAAAAUGCGCAGGAAGUGUCCCCUGUUGAAGAUGAAUUAGAACAUGGAGAACUACUACCUGCAGCCGAUGAUAUUGUGUCGGAAAGCGGCGUGGCUGUUUCCAUUGUGGAAGAGAUUGAUGAUCACCCCGCCAAUGCAAGUGAAAAAGAGGUUGAAGAAAUUAGCAACGAUAAUUCGGGCGGUGACAAGAAACUGGAUGGAAAUGAUCUGUUUGCUGGUCGUAAAGUUGGGGCGGUGGAAGGUGGAGAUUAGGAUGCUGCACACGAAUCAGCUAGAUCCACUUCGUCGUCUAGACAUUCUAUUAUUGACGAUCUAUUGGGUGUAACACGGUCGAUAGUCAACGAAUACUCACCGGACGGGAGUGUUUCGCCUCAAUUGUCACCUAGACUAAAUCUUUCGAACAAUGCCUCUCCAUCCUUAUCACUUAAGCAAGCGUUUAAACCGAUUGACAUUCCGCUGCCAUCGGACGACUGGAUGGAAGAUAACUUCUUUACCGCCGUCCACUAUCCAGUAGUGAUGCCAGAAGUGGCUGAAACCGUUAUGGAAUGAACGGAAAAGCCGCAUAAACAAGGUGAAUAUACACACCAGCACAAAGUGGACAGUUUCUAUGCCGCGGUGGACGCAUUGUGCCUGAUCCAUCAACAAGCAUCUUCCUCCUCGGAUAAUUCUUUGCGUGAGAUUUGCGCUGACGCCGAUCAGAAUGAAGAAGAAGCUAUGCUGUUUGAUAGUAUAAUUAAUGUCUGCGAAGAGAAAUUCAUUUUCCCGGGGACUCCGAUACGGAAGCUGCAACUCUCUAAGGUCAAAUUGCCCAGUGAUGCAGAUCAUUUUGUGGCAAUUGUAUGGAAACCUGUAGAGGAUGUGGCGGCUCGAAUGGUGCUGCUGGAUGUAGCGCUGCAUGCUGCCCGAAUGGAACAAGAUGAUGUGGAACAACAGAUGGUCUACGAUUUGGCCUUCCAGGCUUUGGAGCGCAACGAGGCACAGUGGUGUGAUUUCAAGCAGAGUGAGGCGAUUCUCAAGGAAAAAUGUGUCAGUGUGUUGUGGAACAAUUUGUUACUGGUCAUUUGAAUUGAUAUGUCUAGUGAUGAUUAGAGCUUGUAUUCCUUGAGCGGAUGGUCGUGAGCGUCUGCUCUGCAACGAUUUUCCUAUGAUCUGUGCUAAAAUAACCUUAACCGACUACUGUAGUGCACCACAACUGUAAAUGCUCAAUUAAAAAUGGAAUAGGCGUAGUACGCUAUUGUGGAGA